ACAGCCACAUCACGUCCAAACACCGGUCUCCGUACGAUCACCGAAGUUAAACAACGUCGAGCCUGGUCAGUACCUAGAUGGGUGACCGCUUGGGAAUAACAGGUACUGUAAG
Molecule: non-coding RNA, 112 nt
Organism: Acanthosepion pharaonis
Lineage: Eukaryota; Metazoa; Mollusca; Cephalopoda; Sepiida; Sepiidae
Source: the annotation of a GenBank genome assembly